This 467-nucleotide ribosomal RNA is filed under the name uncultured bacterium. RNAcentral's name for it is "partial 16S ribosomal RNA". It matches the Rfam family "Bacterial small subunit ribosomal RNA", at positions 28 to 506 of the family's 1533-position model. The record is from RNAcentral.
GACGAACGCUGGCGGCGUGCUUAACACAUGCAAGUCGAACGGAAAGGCCCUGCUUUUGUGGGGUGCUCGAGUGGCGAACGGGUGAGUAACACGUGAGGAACCUGCCCUUGACUUUGGGAUAACUUCAGGAAACUGGGGCUAAUACCGGAUAGGAGCUCCUGCUGCAUGGUGGGGGUUGGAAAGUUUCGGCGGUUGGGGAUGGACUCGCGGCUUAUCAGCUUGUUGGUGGGGUAGUGGCUUACCAAGGCUUUGACGGGUAGCCGGCCUGAGAGGGUGACCGGCCACAUUGGGACUGAGAUACGGCCCAGACUCCUACGGGAGGCAGCAGUGGGGAAUAUUGCACAAUGGGCGGAAGCCUGAUGCAGCAACGCCGCGUGCGGGAUGACGGCCUUCGGGUUGUAAACCGCUUUCGCCUGUGACGAAGCGUGAGUGACGGGAAUGGGUAAAGAAGCACCGGCGAACUACGG